AGAGUUUGAUCCUGGCUCAGGACGAACGCUGGCGGCGUGCCUAACACAUGCAAGUCGAGCGGAGACAGUGAGUAGCUUGCUAUGAGCUGUUUUAGCGGCGGACGGGUGAGUAACGCGUGAGCAACCUUUCCCAGACAGGGGAAUAACACACCGAAAGGUGUACCAAUACCGCAUAAGACCACGGGAUCACAUGGUUCUGGGGUAAAAGAUUUAUCGGUUUGGGGUGGGCUCGCGUCCGAUUAGGUAGUUGGUGAGGUAACGGCCCACCAAGCCGACGAUCGGUAGCCGACCUGAGAGGGUGAUCGGCCACAUUGGGACUGAGGCACGGCCCAAACUCCUACGGGAGGCAGCAGUGGGAAUAUUGGGCAAUGGAGGAAACUCUGACCCAGCAACGCCGCGUGGAGGAAGAAGGUUUUCGGAUCGUAAACUCCUGUCCUUGGAGACGAGUAGAAGACGGUAUCCAAGGAGGAAGCCCCGGCUAACUACGUGCCAGCAGCCGCGGUAAUACGUAGGGGGCAAGCGUUGUCCGGAAUAAUUGGGCGUAAAGGGCGCGUAGGCGGCUCGGUAAGUCUGGAGUGAAAGUCCUGCUUUUAAGGUGGGAAUUGCUUUGGAUACUGUCGGGCUUGAGUGCAGGAGAGGUUAGUGGAAUUCCCAGUGUAGCGGUGAAAUGCGUAGAGAUUGGGAGGAACACCAGUGGCGAAGGCGACUAACUGGACUGUAACUGACGCUGAGGCGCGAAAGUGUGGGGAGCAAACAGGAUUAGAUACCCUGGUAGUCCACACUGUAAACGAUGAAUGCUAGGUGUAGGGGGUAUCGACCCCUUCUGUGCCGCAGUCAACACAAUAAGCAUUCCGCCUGGGGAGUACGGCCGCAAGGUUGAAACUCAAAGGAAUUGACGGGGGCCCGCACAAGCAGCGGAGCAUGUGGUUUAAUUCGACCCAACGCGAAGAACCUUACCAGGUCUUGACAUCCACUUAAACUUACAGAGAUGUAAGGUGUGCUCGCACAAAGUGAGACAGGUGGUGCAUGGUUGUCGUCAGCUCGUGUCGUGAGAUGUUGGGUUAAGUCCCGCAACGAGCGCAACCCUUAUCUUCAGUUACUAACGCGUAGAGGUGAGGACUCUGAAGAGACUGCCGGGGACAACUCGGAGGAAGGUGGGGACGACGUCAAAUCAUCAUGCCCCUUAUGACCUGGGCUACACACGUGCUACAAUGGCCACGACAGAGAGAAGCGAAAUCGCUAGGUAGAGCGGAACUCAAAAAAGUGGUCCCAGUUCGGAUUGUGGGCUGCAACCCGCCCACAUGAAGUCGGAGUUGCUAGUAAUCGCGGAUCAGCAUGCCGCGGUGAAUACGUUCCUGGGCCUUGUACACACCGCCCGUCACACCAUGGGAGUUGGGAGUGCCCAAAGCCGGUGAGGCAACCGCAAGGAGCCAGCCGUCUAAGGCAAGACCAAUGACUGGGGUGAAGUCGAAACAAGGUA
Molecule: ribosomal RNA, 1480 nt
Filed under: metagenome
Description: bacterial SSU rRNA
Rfam family: Bacterial small subunit ribosomal RNA
Source: RNAcentral